This 1133-nucleotide long non-coding RNA is filed under the name Homo sapiens (human). RNAcentral's name for it is "ZRANB2 divergent transcript". Lineage: Eukaryota; Metazoa; Chordata; Mammalia; Primates; Hominidae. The record is from RNAcentral.
AUUUUAACCACCUUUUCUUAAUGAAACCUGGAUUUCAAGCACUAUUUCCUAGUAGAAAUUGAAUAAUGUAGUAAAGAAAUCGACUACUUCAUUUCUAAAUUUAUAACUCAAAUCCAGGAGCAGGUUUAGUCACACUGAGUCUGAAUUGCCAGCAGAUAGUUUUAAUGAAAUGUUCACAAAUGACUAUAUUGCUACGUAACAAGAAUAAUAAAUUCUGCUGUUUACACUUCCAAGAAAUUAAAGGGGAUGAAAGAUACAUUGGUCCCUGCAGUGGGAAGUUUCCUUGACAAUGCAAUUAUUGAUUCCAGGCACAUGACAGAAUUGCUCUGUUGAAGUUUUGCAAGGUCAAAUGACUCACUUUGUCUAAUGGAACGGGAACGAACAAUUUUUUUGUGUCACGUUUGAACAGAUACCUUUGAGAAGUUUAUGAUUCUCCAAGUUCUCUUUCUCCUACUGUGGCACCUACUGACAAGAUAAAUGUGUAGAGGUUCCUGAGUCUAGGGGCACUGGAACCAGCUGACUGAUCUAUGGAAGUUCCCUUGGUCUCCAUUUGUUUAGAAAAGGGACUGGUCAAAGGCUGACGUUUGCUUUUGGUGACAUUGCAUUAAUUGUCUCCCAUGAGACUGCUAGGGUGCUGAAGGGAUGAAGAAACUGAGGCCCACAGAAGGUGGGUGAUACCUGCAAAAUCACAAGCUUUCAUGGUGAAAGAAGAGGGCAAAACUCAACCCGUCUCUUUAGACUUGGGAAGAAUAUGAAAGGACCAGGAGGGACACCUUUCCUAAUAACCUAGCUGAUGGUUCACUUAUUAGGCUGGAAAGCUGAAAAAUGACAUUCCCAGACUCCAUUGAAAUUAGAUUUCCAGAGAGUUGUCUCACUAAGCCCAAAUUUGUCUAACUGGCCUUAUUUCCCUGGAGUAUAUCCUGGAAGUUUCCAUUCAAGCCAAUUUAAGUUACUUUAAAUUAGGAAAGGCAGAAAACAAAAGCCCAAACCUUUGUAAAGGAGGAGGAUUUGCUACAUUGUUCUCAAUUCAUCACAGAAGAGGAUGAAACUGAGUGAUUACACUUGCUGGAGAGAAAAAAAGUCCUUCCCCCGCUCACCCCAAAUAAAGCAUUAACUUUAUGUUAAUCCAUGAA